This is a small RNA of Flavobacterium branchiophilum FL-15, 78 nucleotides long. It matches the Rfam family "Flavo-1 RNA". The record is from Rfam. NCBI's taxonomy places the organism in Bacteria, Pseudomonadati, Bacteroidota, Flavobacteriia, Flavobacteriales, Flavobacteriaceae.
ACCUAGCCCCGACAGUAGCGGCAUCCUUUUUGUUUUUUCUUUAAAAACAAAAAGAUACAGCGAAUGGCGGGAACUGCC